Molecule: ribosomal RNA, 494 nt
Filed under: uncultured bacterium
Lineage: Bacteria
Description: partial 16S ribosomal RNA
Rfam family: Bacterial small subunit ribosomal RNA
Source: RNAcentral
GACGAACGCUGGCGGCGUGCUUAACACAUGCAAGUCGAACGGAAAGGCCUGCUUUCCCUUGUGGAUUGCGGGUACUCGAGUGGCGAACGGGUGAGUAACACGUGAGUGAUCUGCCCCCAACUUGGGUAUAAGCCUGGGAAACUGGGUCUAAUUCCCGAUAGGACUGCAGGGUGGUGCCUGUGGUGGAAAACGAUUUUCUAGUGGUUGGGGAUGAGCUCGCGGCCUAUCAGCUUGUUGGUGGGGUAAUGGCCUACCAAGGCGGCGACGGGUAGCCGGCCUGGGAGGGUGGGCGGCCACAUUGGGACUGAGACACGGCCCAGACUCCUACGGGAGGCAGCAGUGGGGAAUAUUGCACAAUGGGCGGAAGCCUGAUGCAGCGACGCCGCGUGGGGGAUGACGGCCUUCGGGUUGUAAACUCCUUUCGACCGCGAGGAAGCCACCUGGUUGGAAGGGUGGUGACGGUAGUGGUAGAAGAAGCACCGGCUAACUACGUG